UACAGAGGGUGCAAGCGUUAAUCGGAAUUACUGGGCGUAAAGCGAGCGUAGUCGGUUAUUUAAGUCGGGUGUGAAAGCCCCGGGCUCAACCUGGGAAUUGCAUUCGAUACUGGAUAGCUAGAGUUCGGCAGAGGGAAGCGGAAUUUCCGGUGUAGCGGUGAAAUGCGUAGAUAUCGGGAGGAACACCAGUGGCGAAGGCGACUACCUGGCCUGUUUCUUGACGCUGAGGCGCGAAAGCUAGGGGAGCAAACGGG
This 254-nucleotide ribosomal RNA is filed under the name uncultured bacterium. RNAcentral describes it as "partial 16S ribosomal RNA". It matches the Rfam family "Bacterial small subunit ribosomal RNA", at positions 524 to 776 of the family's 1533-position model. The record is from RNAcentral.